This 1195-nucleotide long non-coding RNA is filed under the name Ursus americanus (American black bear). RNAcentral's name for it is "lncRNA (ENSUAMG00000022046.1)". Lineage: Eukaryota; Metazoa; Chordata; Mammalia; Carnivora; Ursidae. The record is from RNAcentral.
AUGCUGGCUGUCCCGACUCCAGACCUAGGAUCCCUGUUCUGUGGGGUCGGCCCCCCCGCCCCCCCUGCCCAGAGCUGUGGACAUGCCCCACGUCAGCACUGCCCUCUGAAUCAGCACCACGGACAGCACCAUCGAGCUUUCAGAGGGAUCCCCGGGAACCUGGUGCACAUCUCUUCGCUCAUGAACUCCUCACCAUCUCGACGGUGGAUGACACGUAGCUGGCACUCCUCGCUCCAUGUCCCCGGCACACCCGACUCCUGCGAGCAGAACCUGUGUUCUCUGCAGCAAUGAAGAGGAGGAGCGUGGCCCUGUGAGACAGCAGCGGUGAAGAAAUCGGCCUGGUGCCAGACAGCCAUGACGAAGGGGGAAAGGGGAAGUUUCUAUCCCUUUCGAAAUCUGCCCCUUCUCUUCUGUACUUCUCCCCAUCCCAACCUCGCUUACAAUCACAGCCUCAGGUUCCCUUUCCUCCUUUGAGUCAGGCUCCCCUUGACACCCUCGGAGUCUUCGCCUCCACUGCCUGAGUGUCCCCUCUGCCCAAGCUUCCUGUGACCCAACCUCCAACCUGGGGGGACGGCAGCCCCUCACUCUGCCUGUGGUCCCCUGUCACAGGGAGCUCCAGGCAUUGAACACUUACUGUCUCCCCACUGGACAGUGACUCUCGGGGCAGUGGCUGGGGCUAGCGUGUGAUCUCGUGAGCAGGGAGGGGAUGCCCACUGCGUGGGUGCCAAGGGAGGGAGGACAGUCGGCCUCCUCACACCUCCACCCCCGGCCUCCCCCAUCUCUUGCAUCCCUGUGUCCUGCCCCUGGCAGGACUGACUUCCACAGACAUGCACAGCCUGUGAAUCAGAGGGUCUGGCCAGAAGGGUCCCGUUUUCACUUUGCAGAGAACACCCCCAGAGGGGGGCGGUAUUGGGAGAUGGGGCUUGAGCCCUGCACAAGGCGUGAAUUUGGCUCCCUGAGGACUCUCACCCUCUCUGGCCUCUAGGCCCAGGGCCCCCAGGAGUGGACGUGUGGUGGCGGAUGGCUGAUUCCCAAUGGCUGUCCUGGCCCUGACAGUGUCUGGGUGUCAAGUUCCUCCUCCGUGGCGUGUCACUGUUCUGACAUCACCUGCAUCUUCCUGUCAGGCCUUCCUCUGAAUCUUGCAACUUUUAGUUCCUGAGAGAACAACCCUGACAAACAGACAUUCUGGGGACCC